RNAcentral lists this ribosomal RNA (612 nucleotides) under uncultured bacterium. RNAcentral's name for it is "bacterial SSU rRNA". The stretch from base 1 to 517 matches the Rfam family "Bacterial small subunit ribosomal RNA", at positions 338 to 873 of the family's 1533-position model. The record is from RNAcentral.
CCUACGGGAGGCAGCAGUGGGGAAUAUUGGACAAUGGGCGAAAGCCUGAUCCAGCAAUGCCGCGUGAGUGAAGAAGGCCUUCGGGUUGUAAAGCUCUUUUACCCGGGAAGAUAAUGACCGUACCGGGAGAAUAAGCCCCGGCUAACUCCGUGCCAGCAGCCGCGGUAAUACGGAGGGGGCUAGCGUUGUUCGGAAUCACUGGGCGUAAAGCGUGCGUAGGCGGCCAUUCAAGUCAGAGGUGAAAGCCCAGGGCUCAACCCUGGAACUGCCUUUGAAACUAGGUGGCUGGAACACGGGAGAGGUGAGUGGAAUUCCGAGUGUAGAGGUGAAAUUCGUAGAUAUUCGGAAGAACACCAGUGGCGAAGGCGGCUCACUGGACCGUUGUUGACGCUGAGGCACGAAAGCGUGGGGAGCAAACAGGAUUAGAUACCCUGGUAGUCCACGCCGUAAACGAUGAUAACUAGCUGUUGGGGCUCUUUGAGCUCCAGUGGCGCAGCUACGCAUUAAGUUAUCCGUCCGUCGGGUAGGUACGGUCCGCGAACGGUUAAAACGUAACGAAAGUAAGUAGUAGGACGCGUGAGUAGUUCGACGACGACGACGACGGAGGAGGAG